Molecule: long non-coding RNA, 614 nt
Organism: Dipodomys spectabilis (banner-tailed kangaroo rat)
Lineage: Eukaryota; Metazoa; Chordata; Mammalia; Rodentia; Heteromyidae
Exons: 3
Source: RefSeq, a predicted model, not a curated record
AGCGUGCGGCGGCCCCCUUGGCCCUUUUUGCCCGGGAGGUCGCGUCUUCGUCUCUGGGGUCAGCCGACCAGUCCCCGAAUAUACGUUCAUGCGGAGUCAGUGAAGUGGAGGAGAUCCGGGAGUACUGCCGUAGUGGGAGAUGGCGGUCAGCGUGAGGGCUGAGCCCACUCGGGGGUGCACCGGGGCCCGGGACGGGCCUGCGCAGGCCGGCGCCGUUCGGCCCGAGCCGGGACGGGUCGGCAGGCUGGGCACGGCCGGCCGGGACGGAAGUUGGGACGCCGUCGGGGGCCCGCCGUGAGCCCGUUCUGCGGGAGCCAGCGCCGAGCUCGCGGAGGCCCGCCGCGGACGGAGCCCUGAACUCGUGGCUGAUAGAGUGACUGAAACUGACGGCGUACGGUUUGCCUGGCGGCAAAGAACUCCAAAUGAUAAUGGAUGAAAUACACAGCGUCUUCCAAAGGCUCGCCAAAGUUUCAAACCUUGGGAGUGGAUAUUUUGAAUAAUUUAGAAGGUAUCAGCACUAUUUUCAAUGCAGCCCUGCAUUAUUUUUUUUGUCCGGUCAUGGGGCCUGAACUCGACCUGGGCACUGUCCCUCAGCUCAAGGCGAGUGCUCUACC